Molecule: ribosomal RNA, 862 nt
Filed under: uncultured bacterium
Lineage: Bacteria
Description: bacterial SSU rRNA
Rfam family: Bacterial small subunit ribosomal RNA
Source: RNAcentral
GUUUGAUCCUGGCUCAGGAUGAACGCUGGCGGUAUGCUUAACACAUGCAAGUCGAACGGGGUACUUUCGGGUACCUAGUGGCGGACGGGUGAGUAACGCGUGAGAAUCUGGCUAUAGGUUCGGGACAACAUUGGGAAACUGAUGCUAAUACCGGAUGUGCCGAGAGGUGAAAGCUUAAUGUGCCUAUAGAUGAGCUCGCGUCCGAUUAGCUAGUAGGUGAGGUAAAAGCUCACCUAGGCCAUGAUCGGUAGCUGGUCUGAGAGGAUGGCCAGCCACACUGGGACUGAGACACGGCCCAGACUCCUACGGGAGGCAGCAGUGGGGAAUUUUCCGCAAUGGGCGAAAGCCUGACGGAGCAAUACCGCGUGAGGGAGGAAGGCUUUUGGGUCGUAAACCUCUUUUCUCUGGGAAGAAGUUCUGACGGUACCAGAGGAAUCAGCAUCGGCUAACUCCGUGCCAGCAGCCGCGGUAAUACGGAGGAUGCAAGCGUUAUCCGGAAUUAUUGGGCGUAAAGCGUCCGCAGGUGGUUAUUCAAGUCUGCUGUUAAAGCGUGGAGCUUAACUCCAUAUCGGCGGUGGAAACUGAUGAACUAGAGGGUGGUAGGGGUCACGGGAAUUCCCAGUGUAGCGGUGAAAUGCGUAGAUAUUGGGAAGAACACCAGCGGCGAAAGCGCGUGACUGGGCCAUUACUGACACUCAUGGACGAAAGCUAGGGGAGCGAAAGGGAUUAGAUACCCCUGUAGUCCUAGCCGUAAACGAUGGACACUAGGUGUUGCCCGUAUCGACCCGGGCAGUGCCGUAGCUAACGCGUUAAGUGUCCCGCCUGGGGAGUACGCACGCAAGUGUGAAACUCAAGGAAUUGA